RNAcentral lists this ribosomal RNA (480 nucleotides) under uncultured bacterium. Its description in RNAcentral is "bacterial SSU rRNA". It matches the Rfam family "Bacterial small subunit ribosomal RNA", at positions 38 to 518 of the family's 1533-position model. The record is from RNAcentral.
GGCGGCGUAGCUUAACACAUGCAAGUCGAACGGAGUUUUAACGGAAGUUUCGGAUGGAAGUUUAGAAACGUUAGUGGCGGACGGGUGAGUAACGCGUGGGUAACCUGCCUCAGUACAGGGGGAUAACAGUUAGAAAUGACUGCUAACACCGCAUAAUAUAGCGAAACCGCAUGAUUUUGCUAUCAAAUAUUUAUAGGUAUGAGAUGGGCCCGCGUCUGAUUAGCUAGUUGGUGGGGUAAAAGCCUACCAAGGCGACGAUCAGUAGCCGGCUUGAGAGAGUGACCGGCCACAUUGGGACUGAGACACGGCCCAAACUCCUACGGGAGGCAGCAGUGGGGAAUAUUGGACAAUGGGGGAAACCCUGAUCCAGCCGACGCCGCGUGAGUGAAGAAGUAUUUCGGUAUGUAAAGCUCUAUCAGCAGGGAAGAUAAUGACAGUACCUGACUAAGAAGCCCCGGCUAACUACGUGCCAGCCGCCGC